UGCUUGAUUCUUCUUUUUUUUUUUUUUGCUUAUAAAUGUACAUCCCACUUGUAGCCUAGCAACAAAAGCAGCAGCCUGGGUGAGACGAGCCUGCUGCUGGGGCUCUCUCCUCAAAACAGGAGCCAUCUUUGGCGUGUAACUUGACCAGAGAUUUCAUCAUUCUGCAUUAAAGCCAGCUCCAGAUGUUAGAGGUCCCUGCAGCCAGCUCAGCUCUGCCAGCUUUGCUUUGCCACCUCCUCUCCCACUGCACGAGGCACGUCCACAGACGCCGCACGUGUUCGCCUCAUCUCCACAUUCAGGAAAAUAAACCUCCUUUGCUAACCAAGGUGAUAUGUUAACUGCACAUUGGUACAAAGGCAAUCUUCACCCUGCCCACCAGUAUAAUAACAAUGGAUUAUUUAUAAUUCAAUAAAUUAAAAAAAACUAUUAAUACUCAUA
Molecule: long non-coding RNA, 438 nt
Organism: Lonchura striata (white-rumped munia)
Lineage: Eukaryota; Metazoa; Chordata; Aves; Passeriformes; Estrildidae
Source: RefSeq, a predicted model, not a curated record